UUUAUCUGUUAAAUCUGGUUAAAAGUUCAAAAAUUAUUAGGAGGUGUGGAAGAGAGUGAGCAUUUGUCAUAGAAAAGAAGACAAAACAACUUUUGAAUGUAGUAGUGGACACAAAAUCUGGAGGACAAUUCUCUAGUGCCAAUUAGAGAAGUUCAGAGUAUACUCAUGUCUUACUUCCUGUGCUCUGUGUUGGAGGAAGCUGAGAGGAAGUGAGAAAACACAGCUCUCCCGCUUCAAAAUUAAAGCAGACCAGAUACUACACAUUUUAGGAAUUGUGUUUGGAAACAAAAUGAGGACUUGGAAGUAAAACAUUCUUUUUAAGAAGCAUGGAUCAGCAUUUCCCAAACCUUUACAUUUCCUGCAAAUACCAGUGGACCAAACUGCCAGCAAAUACCUAUGUAACCUCAAAGUCUUGCACCAAGUGCUCUUGUCAACACCCCUGCCACUGCAGAGAUGAAGUCCAGAGUCCAUUUAUUGCAAAAAUCUAUAACUGACUCCAACA
Molecule: long non-coding RNA, 502 nt
Organism: Empidonax traillii (willow flycatcher)
Lineage: Eukaryota; Metazoa; Chordata; Aves; Passeriformes; Tyrannidae
Exons: 4
Source: RefSeq, a predicted model, not a curated record